GCAGCCAUAGCUCAGCUGGAUAGAGCGCUUCCCUGCGAAGGAAGAGGUCGGACGUUCAAAUCGUCCUGGCUGCACCA
This 77-nucleotide transfer RNA is filed under the name Patescibacteria group bacterium. RNAcentral's name for it is "tRNA-Arg". It matches the Rfam family "tRNA". Rfam says of the family: Transfer RNA (tRNA) molecules are approximately 80 nucleotides in length. The record is from RNAcentral. RNAcentral also lists the same sequence under 1 other name.